This 300-nucleotide ribosomal RNA is filed under the name uncultured Sulfuricurvum sp. Its description in RNAcentral is "bacterial SSU rRNA". It matches the Rfam family "Bacterial small subunit ribosomal RNA", at positions 496 to 795 of the family's 1533-position model. The record is from RNAcentral. Lineage: Bacteria; Pseudomonadati; Campylobacterota; Epsilonproteobacteria; Campylobacterales; Sulfurimonadaceae.
GCUAAUUUCGUGCCAUGAGCGGCGGGAAACGGGAAGGCGCUGGGUGUACGUGGAAUGGUUGGCGUCAACGGGUGCGCAGGACGUGUGCUAAGCGUGACGUUGAAUGGAGAUGCUCAACAUCUGAGUUGAGUCGUGAACUGGUUGUGGAGAGUGCAUACGAGGUAGGCAGAAGUGGUGGUGUAGCGGUGAAAUGCUUAGAGAUCACGAAGAACUCCGAUUGCGAAGGCAGCCUACCAGGAUGUAACUGACGCUAAAGCUCGAAAGUGCGGGUAGCAAACAGGAUUAGAUACCCGUGUAGUC